This 850-nucleotide ribosomal RNA is filed under the name Staphylococcus pseudintermedius. Its description in RNAcentral is "bacterial SSU rRNA". It matches the Rfam family "Bacterial small subunit ribosomal RNA", at positions 90 to 926 of the family's 1533-position model. Lineage: Bacteria; Bacillati; Bacillota; Bacilli; Caryophanales; Staphylococcaceae. The record is from RNAcentral.
CGUUAGCGGCGGACGGGUGAGUAACACGUGGGUAACCUACCUAUAAGACUGGAAUAACUCCGGGAAACCGGGGCUAAUGCCGGAUAACAUGUUGAACCGCAUGGUUCUACAGUGAAAGACGGUCUUGCUGUCACUUAUAGAUGGACCCGCGCCGUAUUAGCUAGUUGGUGGGGUAACGGCCUACCAAGGCGACGAUACGUAGCCGACCUGAGAGGGUGAUCGGCCACACUGGAACUGAGACACGGUCCAGACUCCUACGGGAGGCAGCAGUAGGGAAUCUUCCGCAAUGGGCGAAAGCCUGACGGAGCAACGCCGCGUGAGUGAUGAAGGUCUUCGGAUCGUAAAGCUCUGUUGUUAGGGAAGAACAAAUGUGUAAGUAACUGUGCACAUCUUGACGGUACCUAACCAGAAAGCCACGGCUAACUACGUGCCAGCAGCCGCGGUAAUACGUACGUGGCAAGCGUUAUCCGGAAUUAUUGGGCGUAAAGCGCGCGUAGGCGGUUUUUUAAGUCUGAUGUGAAAGCCCACGGCUCAACCGUGGAGGGUCAUUGGAAACUGGAAAACUUGAGUGCAUAAAAGGAGAGUGGAAUUCCAUGUGUAGCGGUGAAAUGCGCAGAGAUAUGGAGGAACACCAGUGGCGAAGGCGGCUUUCUGGUCUGCAACUGACGCUGAUGUGCGAAAGCGUGGGGAUCAAACAGGAUUAGAUACCCUGGUAGUCCACGCCGUAAACGAUGAGUGCUAAGUGUUAGGGGGUUUCCGCCCCUUAGUGCUGCAGCUAACGCAUUAAGCACUCCGCCUGGGGAGUACGGUCGCAAGACUGAAACUCAAAGGAAUUGACGGGGACCCGCAC